UGGGCAAUCUGCCCUUCACUCUGGGACAAGCCCUGGAAACGGGGUCUAAUACCGGAUAACACUCCUGCCUGCAUGGGUGGGGGUUGAAAGCUCCGGCGGUGAAGGAUGAGCCCGCGGCCUAUCAGCUUGUUGGUGGGGUAAUGGCCUACCAAGGCGACGACGGGUAGCCGGCCUGAGAGGGCGACCGGCCACACUGGGACUGAGACACGGCCCAGACUCCUACGGGAGGCAGCAGUGGGGAAUAUUGCACAAUGGGCGAAAGCCUGAUGCAGCGACGCCGCGUGAGGGAUGACGGCCUUCGGGUUGUAAACCUCUUUCAGCAGGGAAGAAGCGCAAGUGACGGUACCUGCAGAAGAAGCGCCGGCUAACUACGUGCCAGCAGCCGCGGUAAUACGUAGGGCGCAAGCGUUGUCCGGAAUUAUUGGGCGUAAAGAGCUCGUAGGCGGCUUGUCACGUCGGAUGUGAAAGCCCGGGGCUUAACCCCGGGUCUGCAUUCGAUACGGGCUAGCUAGAGUGUGGUAGGGGAGAUCGGAAUUCCUGGUGUAGCGGUGAAAUGCGCAGAUAUCAGGAGGAACACCGGUGGCGAAGGCGGAUCUCUGGGCCAUUACUGACGCUGAGGAGCGAAAGCGUGGGGAGCGAACAGGAUUAGAUACCCUGGUAGUCCACGCCGUAAACGUUGGGAACUAGGUGUUGGCGACAU
RNAcentral lists this ribosomal RNA (700 nucleotides) under Kitasatospora albolonga. RNAcentral's name for it is "bacterial SSU rRNA". It matches the Rfam family "Bacterial small subunit ribosomal RNA", at positions 118 to 832 of the family's 1533-position model. The record is from RNAcentral. Lineage: Bacteria; Bacillati; Actinomycetota; Actinomycetes; Kitasatosporales; Streptomycetaceae.